AAUGGCAUUCAUGAAGGAUAAGCAAACACCAUGAAUGAUAGGAGGUGGGACUUACGGCAGCCAGUUGGUCUGCAUAGGAAGUCCUAGCUUGACAGAUAAUGUUUAAUGUUUUAAAGGGAAACAUAAACUCCAGCCAGGCAGAAACUGAGGAGCUGAUUCAUAAAAACAAGUACAGUAGGAUUUAAAAAUAAAUGAGAUUCAACUCUUUGUUCUCCAGCUGGCUGAAGCACGUGAUAAAGCCCAGAGAGUAUUGCCAUUUAUGACGGAGCAGCCUUAGUCAUCUGAACUCUGCCAGCGCCUCCAACUAAUGUCUGAGAAUUGAGACACAGCUCAGCGUCAUCUAUUCUCUCUUUGGGACAACCGAGUUUUGGAGACAGGGUGCUUGAAGAAGCCGCAGCCCACUGCUGAAUCCCAGCAUCCACUACUGCUGGGGCCCGGUAUCAGCCAUCCCCAGCAUCAGCCACAAUUUCUCACCGUCCACCCUUGACGUCACCUGGGAGCACUCCCCGCUACCUCUCGUGUAGCAUGAGAUGUACAACUUCUGCUCUGUAAAGAAGAAAAAUGGGAUGGGGCCUCCUGUAACAGCUUUACAGGCUGCAGAGCACGGAGGAGCCGGCGGCUGAAGACUCGUCUCCUAAGAGGAGCUGUCCUGCUAGAGAGCUGCAGCGCUCUACGCUUUAAUUCGUUGCUACCCUACUGUUGUUGGAAAACUUCACUCCUGAAGACUGGCUUGCACACGAUGAU
RNAcentral lists this long non-coding RNA (744 nucleotides) under Crocodylus porosus (Australian saltwater crocodile). RNAcentral describes it as "lncRNA (ENSCPRG00005003812.1)". The record is from RNAcentral. Lineage: Eukaryota; Metazoa; Chordata; Crocodylia; Crocodylidae.